GGAUAUGAAGUGAUAUAGUACUCUUCUAGGAACUCCAGAAAUGAUGAAAAAUACUAGCUAUUUUGAACAUGGACAGAGAUCCACAGAGUACAAUAGAUUCCUCCUGCCUGGUGUGGAAACCCCCGAUGCUGGGUUCUGUCUGUCACUCAUUCCUUAUACUCAGAAGAUAUUACAUUCAUUCUAGGGCUCAGUUCUAAAGUGCUAACACAGGUGAGGCCUAGGUGGAUUUUUGGUAAGCUCUCAUUUUAAAUUGUAAGUUUGGAUGGUCUUCUGGGUCGUUGCCACAAGAUCUGCCCACAAGACUUCCUCCAUGUGUACAAGCAGUUAGAGGUGGUGAUGCUUUGGGAUCUUCACUGAUGCCUUUGACCCUAAGGUGAAGGAAACUUUAUGCAGCAAACAAGAUGAUUUGUCUCAACAGGUUAAUGAAUGCUUUGCUAAUGAUGGUUCUUCAAUUAAUUUUGUGCAUGUCUGAAAAAGGGGAUAUGUCAAAAUAAAAAAAAAGGAUGCUGUGGAAUUCAGUGGGGAAAGGUAUAAUCUGUUGUAAUAUAAUGCCACUCUCUGAUAUGUCAUGGUUUAAGGGAUUGUUUUGCCAAAGUAUGUAUUGGUUAGAUAUUAAGUGUUCAGAUGCUUUUGAAUCAUAUAUUUUUUUUUGAAUAUCUACUAUACAAAGUGGCUAAUGAAGCAACUGGAAUUGGGUGGUGCACAGUAUGAGAGACAAGAUUUGGUUACAUAAACAAGGGCUGUUAGGUCUCAAGAGAUAAAGAUAUUACAUUAUGAUUGUACAUUAUAUAUAUUUAGUGUUGUGGAUACCCUGCAUGAAGAGCUCUUUUCCAGAAUCAUGAAUUAUCCAGGACUACCAUUUCUUCAGACCUAUAAGCCACAUUUUGAAGGGCUGAAAUUCAUGUGGCAUUCCCCUCUCCUUUUAAAAAUGCUACUUUCUAGCAUUCCCCUCUUCUUGUGGGUGAACCAGAACAACUUAGUAAUACUUGGAUUCUCGUGAAACUGUCAAUGUUAUUUCCUUUUCCUUUUUGAAGAACUGUCUUCAAAAUCAGUUCGGGUGGCCUUGGUCACGUAGACCACUCAGUGUUGUCCAUUUUACAACUAAGCCCAAGUCCUCGUUGACUGUAAAUUCUUGAGUUUUGCCUACUCUCUCCUGACCCAUUACUCCGUCUCCACAUUCACUUGGUUUAUAAAGUUAUUUGCCGUUGAGUGGCCUUUAGUGAUUCCACUGGCUUACAUGAGAAGCAGAGGAUAAUAGGAAGCUUAUAUCAUACUUCGAAGGUCUCAGGGAUUUGUGUUUUCCUACUUUGACUCUGUGUGUCCAGCCUGGGUUAAGAUGGGACGGAAUGGUAGACACUGUCACAUACACAAGCAAUUCCCAAAGACUCAAACAGGGCAAUGACCCAAAGGAAGCUAGAAGGACUUUACUGCCUUUAAAUUUGCUUGCCUAAUAAGCAAAACACCCAGCUAUUAAGUAUCAUUUACUAUAAAAGUUCUGUGAGUCCUUGAGGCCCAAUAUAUAUGUUAUAAAUACAAAAUUUUAAUUACCUAUGGGGUAUCAGGACUUUGUGUCUUCAUACUUAACGAGAAUUAUAAUUUGAGUAUGCUACAUUGUUUCAUAGUUUGGGAAAUUAUGAGAUUGUAUCCCUUGGCUAUCUCUUAUUUCUGUUUACUUUUUAGUGACUGUGGAAGUUGUGAGAAUUUGAACUUGUUCUCUGUGCUAUAAUAAAUCUGUGGCAUCACACGGG
Molecule: long non-coding RNA, 1748 nt
Filed under: Rattus norvegicus (Norway rat)
Lineage: Eukaryota; Metazoa; Chordata; Mammalia; Rodentia; Muridae
Description: long non-coding RNA NONRATT016093
Source: RNAcentral